UUGCGCGCGAAUACAUGCCGGUUUGUAUGGGCCGGCGUGCUUGCGUGUGUCUAGUGCGUACGUGUUUUGUGAGCGUGUUUCUGUGUGGGUCACUGUGUGUGCGUCCACGUGUUAGCGUGUCUGCCUGCAUGUAUGUGUGAUUGUUUGUGUUUAUCAAUGUGCGCGUGCGUGCCUUUGUGUCUGCGCUUUGAGAGUGCGUAUAUUUGUGUGCGUGCGUAUGUAUUGCAUAAGGCCGGUAGAAUUUUACUCGCAAUAAAACUCUUCCAAUUUGGUGCAGCGAGUGUUGCCGCCUGAAAGCCGAGUUUGGUUUCAAGCCAACCUGGACAACUGCUGUAUGAGGCGCUGUUUCGCAGGAGGAUCAGUGGGAAGGCGUCAGGUCAUGCAGAUGAUAGCAUCAAUUUCACAAUGCCCAGCCUUGGUGCCCUCCAUUAAGAGCAAGCCACUUGCGUUCGCCUUCAGGCAGAUGGUUGAUGUCUUCUAGGAAGCAGUUGGGAAGACUACAUUGAUGCAAGAUUCCAGCAAUGCCAUGCGCUGCAUUUAUUGGUCAAGAUGCUCAGAGAAUGGAGUCCCUGCACCUCGUGGUGAAACGUGAACAUUUUCUUUCUUUUGGAAAGCUAAACGUCAUUUGCUGUAUCAAUUGCAUUCUUGAAGCUCAGAUGUGUACUAUAUUUUUUCUAAUUUUGAAUCAAUUAAUAUUCACUUUUCUGUAUAAAAAUGACGUACAGUGUGCAGGACAAGGACUGCGAGAGAUGACAUACACUGCGCUGACUUCCAACAAUAUUUUAUUGCGUUGCCACAUCGUGUGUUUAUACACAAGAAGGGCCAUGCGCAGAAAAUGAAAGGCAGUCGCAAGGGGUGUUCUAACAGCAAGUCAUUGUACUAAGAACAUGGUCACUAAAAAAAAUCACAAUUUCUAUCUGUGGAGAUACAAGACUUCACUAGGGGUCAGCGUGAUAGAGGGGGCACUAACGCACACACUACCCAUUUUUCUGGUGAAAUAAGCAUCAAUAAUGUACCGGGUGAGCUGUGUUUCGCUAGAACUUGCGUAUCUUCAAAGAGGGGCAUGCAGCGGCAGUCCCGGCAAUGAAUGCCCAAGUGGCCUUGAACAGUGUUAUGGACGUUAUAGUGCACUUUUAAACGAUCAUUUAGGCACCUGCCUGUCCGUCCAACAUAUUUACUGCCUCAAAACGGGAAUAUGGUAAACCACAUUCGUUACACAUAUCGCAAAACGUUUUCUGUGCCCGACAGAGCAAGAACUCUGACACGAUUUAGGCGCGUUUACACGCUUAUAGAGCUUUGCCAGCUUUUCCGGGGCUGAGAAAAGGACUGGGAUUCCUGGAGGUUGCCAAAUCUUUUUUUAGCCUAUCGGACACAUCAUGCACAUACGGUAGCACUGCGAACCAGUCUUUCAACCGGCUGGUUCCUUGACUGAGUGCGCUCAUCACGUUUUGUGCCCUUCAGAAGCUGUUCUGCUAUGGCUGAAAUUAGGGCCAAAGGGUAGCCAGCCCAAGAAAGGCGAUCAACCUGUGCAGCAAGACUAUCUUGCAUUUCAUGUGAGCAAGAUUUAUUGAGGCUGUUAACGAGGCAAAUCUUUACAAUACCUUGUUUAACAAGCUUUGAAUGUGCAGAGUUAAAGGGCAAGAGUGACUUUUUACUUCUCGGUUCAAAGCACUAGCCCACCUGUUUAUUUGUAAGGCACUGCCUGAGAUCAAGAAAGCGCAAAGAAUCGUCAGUGGGGACCCCAUUUGUUAGUUCUAGAGGCUGCAGCUCUUAAAGAUCUCCAAGUCUCCCAAGCAGCAGGCUCAAAAGCAUGAUCAGUGCAAUCAAUAAAUACCAGGUAGUCGUCCACAAACUUGCACACUUUGACAACGAGAGACGCAUCUAGGGGACCUUGAAUAUUUCAAUCAUGAUUAGCUAGAUAAAUAUCACUCAGUGGCGGCGCCAGGCACGAUCCUGCACAAUAUACAAAUAAAUGGUACUUGUAUAGGAUCAUGCCUGGCGCCGCCACUAUGUUAUAUUUAUCUCGCUCAUCAUGAUUGCAAUAUUGAAGGUCACCUAGAUGCGUCUCCUGUCAAAGUGUGCAGGUUUGUGAGUGACCACGUGGUAUUCAUUGAUUGCGCUGAUCACGCUUUCGAGCCUGUUGCUUCGGGAGUCUUGGAGAUGUUUAAGAAAGCCUCUACAACUAACGCAUGAGGUCCCCAUUGAUGAUUCCUCGCGCUUUGUAGAUCUCAGGCUGGUGCUUCGAUCUGAGAAGUAAGAAGUCACUCUUGCCCUUUAACUCUGCACACUCAAAGCUCGUUAAAUGAGGUAUUAAAAGUUUUCCCUCGUUAACAGCCUCAAUAAAUCUUGUUCACACAAGAUGCAACAUAGUCUUGCUGCACAGGUUGAUCACCUUUCUAGGGUUGACUACCCUUUGGCCUUAAUUUCAGCCAUAGUGGAACAGCUUCUGAGGGGCACAAACCGUGAUGAGCCCGCUCAGUCAAGGAACCAACCGGUUGAAAGACAUAGGUUCGCAGUGCCACCGGUGGGUAUGUGCAUGAUGUCUCCGAUAGGCUAAAAAAGAUUCGGCAACCUCCAGGAAUCACAGGCCUUUUCUCAACCC
Long non-coding RNA from Dermacentor andersoni, 2602 nucleotides. RefSeq lists it as uncharacterized. The record is from RefSeq and is a predicted model, not a curated record. NCBI's taxonomy places the organism in Eukaryota, Metazoa, Arthropoda, Arachnida, Ixodida, Ixodidae.